Molecule: long non-coding RNA, 1882 nt
Filed under: Lupinus angustifolius (narrow-leaved blue lupine)
Lineage: Eukaryota; Viridiplantae; Streptophyta; Magnoliopsida; Fabales; Fabaceae
Description: long non-coding RNA (LANG_LNC002126)
Source: RNAcentral
AAAGUUUCUCACGUUUCCAAGGCCAUUCAUUUCAAGGUUAUCAAGGCUAUUCGUUUCUUUGAAAUCUGCUACACGUUUUCUUCUCAUGUUACAAAGCUAUUUCAUUUUUGCUUCUUUCUUUAUUCACUACUCUAUUCAAGGUAACUGAGAUUCAUACUUAACGAUUCAAAGUUCUUCAUUUUUUUUUCAUUUCUAUGUAAUCAUCAUCUUACUUUGAUCAUUUUCCAUUUUUCAUAUAUGAAGUUCUUUCUUUGAUCAUCUUACUAUGAUGAACAUGCAUGUGUUCUAGAUCUAAACUUGUUCAUGUUGUAGCAUUGACGAUACUUUCACAUUGUUGCCUUCAAACUGUUAACUCUAUUACUUUUUGCUGUUUAAUAUAUCUUUGUGGUGUAUUUCGGUGUCAUUAUUUAUUUUUUAUAUUUGUUAUAUUUGUUAUAUUUUACCAUGAACAUACAUAUGUUCUAGAUCUAAAGUUGUUCCUUUCUUUUUACUUGGAUCUUCAUGUAACGUUCCAGAUCCGCUCUACAUUCAAUGUUUUUGUAAAAGAUGUUAACUUUAUUACUUUUUGCUGUUUAAUAUAUAUUUGUGAUGUAUUUCAGUGUCAUUAUUUAUUUUUAUAUUUGUUAUAUUUUACCAUGAACAUGCACAUAUGUUCUAGAUCUAAAGUUGUUCCUUUCUUUUUAUUUGGAUCUUCAUGUAACGUUCCAGAUCUGCUCUACAUUCAAUGUUUUUGUAAAAAAUGUUAACUUUAUUAUUUUUUUUUUGUUUAAUAUAUAUUUGUGGUGUAUUUCAGUGUCAUUAUUUAUUUUUUAUAUUUUUGAUAUUUUGUUAUCUUUUACCAUGAACAUGUAUAAGUUCUAGAUCUAAAGCUGUUCCUUUCUUUUUAUUUGUAUCUUCAUGUAACGUUCCAGAUACGCUCUACAUUCAAUAUUUUUGUAAAAAAUGUUAACUUUAUUACUUUUUGCUGUUUAAUAUAUAUUUGUGGUGUAUUUCGGUGUCAUUAUUUAUUUUUUAUAUUUGUUAUAUAUAUUUGCUAUAUAUAUGUUUGUUUAGUUCUGGUCUUUUAGUGUCAUUAUUUAUUUGUCAUGUGUCUGAUAUUUAUCUUCAUUAUAUAUCAUUUAGGCAAUUUAUAUGAGCACAGUUUCAGCUUAUUGUAGCAAACUACUAACUCCCUCCAGUGUUGGCGCCUUUCUGCGUUGUGGGUUCAAUUUCCUCAUUCAAAAUUUGUCUUUUUCUUUUCUUCACCUGCAUCAUCUCAUGAUUCUAUGUCCCCUUACUACUAUUUUUAGGGUCUUAUACUGAUAUUUAUUUUCAUUAUAUAUUAUUUAGGCAAUUUAUAUGAGCACAGUUUCAGCUUAUUUUAGCAAACUACUAACACCCUUCAGUGUUGGCUUUUCUGCGUUGUGUGUUCAAUUUCCUCAUUCAAAAUUUGUCUUUUUCUUUUCUUCACCUGCAACAUCUCAUGAUUCUCUGUCCCUUACUACUAUUUUUAGGGUCUUAUAUUUCUCCCCUUUCUAAUAUAAUUGAAACUAUUAUCCACUUUGACAUGUUGAAUUUUAUUUCUUAAAAAACUUCUAUAAUUCUCAUAUUUUGUUUCAAUUAUAUUUUGUAGAUUCCGGAACCGUGUAUAUGAAUUUGGUGAAUUGGAAUGCAGUUUGAUGUUCUCCAUUUGUUGUUCAAAUUAAACCAGAUUAUCAAACCAGAUAGGAGUUAGAUUUUGUAUUCUAUGAUCUAAUCCGCAGUCAGAUUAUCAAACCAGACAUAUUAUGCACUCUACUACUAUGAUAUAUCCCUAUGUCUGCUUUAUUCAUUUUGUACCACUUUUAAAGUUCUUUUUGUACCAAUUUUUAAAUUAUAUUAUUAAAUGUGAGAGAUUGUCAUG